AUUUGAAAACUUGCAAACUCUAUCACCACCCAGAAUGCAUCGACCUCACCAGAUUCAGGAAGCUAAGCAGGGUCUGCCUGGUUAUUACUCAGAUGGAAGCCCACCAGAGAACACCAGGAACCUUCAGGUA
Molecule: ribosomal RNA, 130 nt
Filed under: Pogona vitticeps (central bearded dragon)
Lineage: Eukaryota; Metazoa; Chordata; Lepidosauria; Squamata; Agamidae
Source: RNAcentral